RNAcentral lists this ribosomal RNA (331 nucleotides) under uncultured Bacillota bacterium. Its description in RNAcentral is "bacterial SSU rRNA". It matches the Rfam family "Bacterial small subunit ribosomal RNA", at positions 28 to 351 of the family's 1533-position model. Lineage: Bacteria; Bacillati; Bacillota. The record is from RNAcentral.
GACGAACGCUGGCGGCGUGCCUAACACAUGCAAGUCGAGCGGAGAUAAUUAAAAGCUUGCUUUUGAUUAUCUUAGCGGCGGACGGGUGAGUAACGCGUGGGCAACCUGCCUUUCACAGGGGGAUAACACAGGGAAACUUGUGCUAAUACCGCAUAACACAACGAGAAAGCAUUUUCUGUUGUCAAAGGAGUAAUCCGGUGAUAGAUGGGCCCGCGUCCAAUUAGCUAGUUGGUGGUGUAACGGACCACCAAGGCGACGAUUGGUAGCCGAACUGAGAGGUUGAUCGGCCACAUUGGGACUGAGACACGGCCCAGACUCCUACGGGAGGCUG